CAGCAAGUGCAAAGUGUAGAGAAUGAUGCAAUUUCCUGUUUUUAUAACUCCUUAUAACUUUUUAAAAUGGAGCUGCAUAGGAAAAAAAAGACCUGAACACAAACCAGUCUAAUAAUAACUACAUGUCAACAUCGCAGUCGGGGGUGAGAAAAGUGUAUUUUCUGUGAAAUUAAUUUCUAAAGGCCGUCUGCCGCUCCAUUCACUUGGCUGGCAGAAUCGAGGUUUAUGACUUGUACUGCAGCCAGGCUCUAGGGGGUGCUGUUCUCGGAGUGGCUUCACUCGGCGAGGAGACAGACGGCGUCCAUCUUAUAUACAGUCUAUGGUUGAUACAUGAGGCCCCAGAUGUCUGUAAUGAUAUCCGCGGAUAUUCGGUGCAGCGGCGGCAAGGAGGAUGCAGGGGCUGCGUGAUCACAGACAAAAUCUCGGUACUAUUUAGUAGCAGCGCAUUCCCCUUGUAAUAACCCCCGUAAGAACUGUUGUUCAGGACUGCUUACUUGUGCUUCCUACGCAUUCGGCUACUGUAAUAACCGUUGUUCAAGCCCACACGCAACAUUUUUGCUCUCAUUCAUAAAACGCUUAAAUCUGGGACAUUUUCAGGGACAGCUUUUGCCGGGGGCAGGUCUUCUAAUUCGGGGACUGUACCCGGAAAUCAGGGACGUCUGGUCACCUUAUGCUAAAGGCUAAAAAUGGCAGGUAUUAAACCAUAUAUUUUAGACCCCGAGUCCGAAGAGGAGGUGGAAGUUGAAGAAGAAGCCAGAGAUCUCCAGCGGUGUUUUCAUUCAUUCUGCCCAGCAUUAAGUUCAUUUUCCCGGCAGUGAACCCAAGGAAACACCGGUCGUUUGGAACAGACCCAUAGCGGAUACAGUGGUAGCUGGGUCUCACUCUGGCUGGAGAGUGAUGUUGACUGUGACUGGGUACGAGAACGAGAGAGUGGGCGCGGCUCACUGAGGAUGCACUCGUGAAUAAUAAUGAGCAAGGUCAGCGCGACAUCAGAAGGACCUGCUUUUUCAAUUGGCCUGGUUUACCCGUUUAUUUUAAACCUUUACAGAAUGCAAACGACGUAACGGUUUGUUUUCACAUUUACAACAAAAGAUGAACAUAAUAUGGACCUUAUCUGACACAAAAACACACAAAAUUACAUUUUUGAUGGCAGGUCGCCUUUAACACAAUGUAACUCGGCAACUUUAAGCAUUUUGUUACCAUACCGUACAGUUUUUAUCCUCUAUUUCUUAUGCCUCAAAUUUUCCUGCUUCUCCUCAUCCUUUAUACGGUACAGCACGUGUUGUUAACCACACACAGCGCCUGCCAUCAGCGAUGUUUACAUCACACAGCAGGAAAGGCAGCUGGCAUGAGACAGGUUGUAAAGCUUUAAUGCAGAAAGGUGAGUAAACGUUAAAACAGUCGGACUCAAUCAGCAGCCAAAACGGUAUUUGAAAUAAAUUGACAGGAGAUAGGAGUUUGUAUUAGAGGGUGUAGUGACAGAACCAAAAAAAGUCGCUUGAGCUCGGAGUCGGGUCUCUCUCUGUCCGACGCGCUGCCUUAAUCAAACAAAAAAAACGCCAAAACAAAUACGCUUCGUUUGAAGGUUUAUUAAACAAAAGGGAAAUAACUGCCAACUACCAAUUUGGCUCUAAAAUAAACAACAAUCUCACAAAACCAAAGUCUGCGGCGGUGACGGUGGCGGUGGCGGUCAACAAAAAUUACGGCGUCCCGUCCCCCGUGCUCUCCACAAAACCAAAAUGAAAUUCCAGGUGUGCUCAGGUCCUCUUAAUAACAAAUCACCGGCCCUAUCUGUGAUGUAAUCCCUGUGAUGACCCCAAACAAUAUCAAACACCACAUGUGACAACCCAAAUAAUUCAACUUCAAAAAUAAAUCUAUUCAUGGCUCUAACACCCCAGCCCCUAAUUAUUAAGUUAUUACAUAAUAAUUAUUCAAAUUACAAAUUAUUAAGAGACAUGAUAUAGUUUAAGAUCAAUACUCGAGGUCCUCAAGAUGCAAUCUUCUUUUCUUCUUAUCUUUUCCUGUAAAUAUGUCAGUCAGCAAGACCAGAGGUUACCAGCACAUGGUCUUAAUCAGAGUGAUCUUUACCAUCACUUCAAGUCAGUCAGUCAGUAUAGUCAGAGUCAGUCAGAGUCAGAGUAAGAAAGGAGGUCAAGAGGUCAUGAUGCACCAGCCAUGUCUUCUCCAGCUUCUGCCUCUUGUAGUAGACAGACUUUAGUUAUUGGCCUGCCCAAACAGCUGCUCUUAGUUUUGAUGCGCACCUGACGCACAAAUCCUCUUCUAUCUGGAAAGGUUUGCAGAACUCUCCCCAUGACCCAUGAAUUCCGAGGUGCUGUGUUGUCAACUAUAAGCACUAUAUCUCCAGGAAUAAGGUUGCGCUUCACGCCUGACCAUUUCUGCCGCUCCUGCAGCUGCGGUAGGUAUUCUUUUACCCAUCUCUUCCAGAACAAGUCUGCCAUGUACUGGACUUGCUUCCACCGUCUACGGGCAUACAUGUCUGUCUCCUGAAUAACUCCUGAUGGCAGAGAUGGUACAGUCUUUAGAAGUAAAAGAUGGUUGGGUGUCAGGGCUUCUAGGUCGUUAGGAUCUGUUGACGCUUUGGUAAUGGGCUGCCCGUUGAUAAUAGCUUCUGCUUCACAAAGAACAGUGUGAAGGCCCUCUUCGUCCAGGUUUUGUACUGUCAGUGUGGAGUUAAGCACUUUCCGUACUGAUCUUAUCAACCUCUCCCAAGAUCCUCCGUGGUGUGAACCCGCCGGAGGGUUAAAAGUCCAUUUUAUUCCUUACUGAAGGAGGGCUUCAUUGAUCUGAGACUGAUUCCAUUGCUCAAUUGCUGUUCUCAGCUCACGCUCUCCUCCUAUGAAAUUUGUUCCGUUAUCUGAGCGCAGCUCUCGCACUUGUCCACGUCUCGCCAUAAAGCGUCUGAGUGCGUGUAUGAAAGAGUCUGUAUCCAACGAAGCUGCUGCCUCAAUAUGGAUCGCUCGUAUGGCCAAGCAGGUAAAGAUUACUCCAUAUCUUUUCACCACAGUUCUCCUGCUUUUAACCUCAAAGGGUCCAAAAUAGUCUACUCCAACUCGAGUGAAUGGAGGCUCGUCGGGAGUCACUCUUUCAGCUGGCAAGUCUGCCAUCUGUUGGGACAUGGGCUGAGCAUUAAACCCGCCGACAGACAGCACACCUUGACAAAACUUUCCUUAUGACAGUGCUGGCACCAGUGAUCCAAUAUUUCGCAUGAAGUUUGCACAAGAUAUAAUUACGGCCUCCAUGUUCAACUUCUUGAUGGAUGUGUUGUAACAGGAGUCCAGAAAUAUGCAAAUCCUUGGCCAGUAUUAUGGGGUGUUUAGUUUCUGUAGGCAUAGAUGACCUGCUGAGCCGACCACAAACGCUGAGAACACCAUCCUCCAUCUGGGGGCAUAAUGUGUAGAUGUUACUGUGACCCUUCACCCUUUAGCCCUUUUGCAGCUUAGAAAACUCCUCCGGAAACCCUUCUCAUUUGGCAAAACUUGAUGAUCUCUAGUUCCGCCUUCUCCAGUUCCUCCACCAAUAAGCAAGUUGCAAUCAUGCUCCUCUUGUACAUUUCCAUGGUCUUUUCUAAUUUCCGUCGUUGUUCCAUGUCCAAGUCAGACUGUGCGGUGGCUGUACUCAAUUGUGUGACCAUGCGUACACACAAAACCUAGUGGUAGGACAGUAAAACUACAAAUAGAACCCAUUAAAGGAGUCACAGCGUUCCCCAAUCUCAAACUCCACACAUGUUCCCGUUGCCUCUAUACAAAAUUUAUCAAUUAGUAAUUUAGCAGACAUUUUGAAUGAUUGGUGAGACAAGCUAUAAAAAUCUGCUGUGACAGGACAACCUCACAAGAAUUCUUACAAGUACAAAUACAAGUAUCACGGUUUAUUUUGCGCUAUUGGAGGACUUGGAGAAGCGUCUGCUCCUCCGCUGGGAGCGCGUUUUCAAAGAGCGUGCUGAUCUGUUCAGUGAAAACUCAGAGUGGAUUCUCAGCAGGUACCGCUUCCCCAAAACAUUUUAAUGGAUUUACGCCGUGAUUUACCACCCGUGUCGGAGCGAGAAACAAAACGCACCAAAGCCAUCCCAGCGCACAUCCAGCUCCUGUCCACCCUAACCCGAACAUUUCAGCAUGAGAUUUGAGACAUAUGCGAUAUUUCGCAGCCAACGCUAAACGGAAUCAUGCCGGCAGAGUUGGAUGUAAUAAUUUCUCCGGCCUCAAUUUACAUACAGUUCCCAAACACACAUCUGCAACAAGCCGAAAUAAAACGAGGAUUUCACGCCAUCGCCGGAUUCCCAAACAUAAGUGGAGCCAUAGAUUGCACCCACAUCGCAAUAAAAGCACCUUCACACGAUAAAUUCAGAUUUGUCAACAGGAAAAGAUUUCAUUCAAUCGAUGCACAAAUAAUCUGCGAUACACAUUUGAUUCUGUUAAACGUUGUUGCCCGGUGGCCUGGAGGAACGCACGACUCAUUCAUUCUGCAGAAUAGCGCUGUGAGUGUGCACCUCCAGGAGGAGGAAAAACAUUCAUACACGCAUUUUUAAAGGGAUUGUUGAUGCCAUAUAUGGUCAAUUGGAGGCGUUCCUGAAUGCAAAUGACUCUAACCAUGCACGAGUACGGUAGUAAAGAACAGGUGGGAUUUAUCAUCACCGAUUACUUACGUGUGUGUACGACCGGUGUCCGCACGUUUGAUAAAUAUGGAUUUUUUUGUACUUACGCACAUUCUAAAUUUCAUUCCUACGCAAGAAUAUAGAACCUUUUCUACGCACGAUUGAUAAAUAAGGCCCCUGGUGAGUGGUCUAUCCUUGAUGACAAUUCGGAACUUGAACGGGUCAGAUUGGAUGCACCAUUCCACACCAAGUACUCUUUCCACUGUUAGUAGGUUCUGCUCCAGAUCCAAUCCUCUCAUCUCCUUAGCUCUGUGCCCUUUAGGUAUCGUAGCCAAAACAUCACGCCUGUUGCUUAUCCACUUUGUGAGAUGAAAUCCUCCAGCAGCACAGAUGGAGACCAGUUCAUGAUACAGAGCUAUUGCUUCGUGUUCUGAGGCCACUGACACCAGACAGUCGUGGACAUAAAAACAGUGCAGGACCUUAUCCACUGCUUCUGAGCUGAACCGUGCUUUGUUGUCUUCAGCACAUCUUCUGAGGGCAAAAUUUGCACAGCUGGGGGAAGAGGUCGCCCCAAAGAGAUGCACUUUCAUUCGGAAGUCGACAAGGUCUUGACUCAUGUCCCCAUUUGGCCACCAGAGGAACCUCAACAAAUCAGCAUCCUCAGCUGGCACUUGUACCUGAUAAAACAUGGAUUCCACGUCAGCCAUGAUCACCACUGGUUCUUUCCAAAAUCUGGUCGCCACUCCUAUCAGUGAACUUGUAAGAUCAGGGGCCUCAUGUAUCAACACUGGCAGCGCCAGAAAACCUUGCGUCCGCCAAGAUCGGCGCACACGUCCAGAUUUAUCAUCGCGACACAAGCGUCGGUUCCAGCGCUAAUCAACGCAAAGUGAGGAGGUGGUGUAGAAGUUGGCGUUGAGCCGAUACUUGCGUUGACGGAAAUUUGGCGACGCUGUGUGGCGGUGUUUGGUGACUCACUAUGUGACAAGCUUGAACCACAUCCCCGUGGCCGAGCAGCACGUCGCCCCACAUGACGAACCAGCAGCAGACGGAGGGAUGCGAGCUGAUCCCUGCCGGGCCGCAGUCCUCGCGCGGGAGAAUCUCAUCGCCACAGUGUGAAUGGGUAAGAAGUGAAUACACAGUUCAAUGAGGCAAAUUAAUUUAUUUUCGCCACCAGACGCUCGAGGACAUUUACGAGCCGGUCCAGCCGCUCGUUGAUCCCCGCGAUCCCCCUGAUGAUUUCUUCCUGCGAUUGCAGGACCGCCUCCGUGAGGACCCUUCCACUGCGUCUGGGUGGUCCAGCGGAAGCGCCGCGGCUGGUGGACGCUCCACCGCGCUGGUGCUGAUGCUGGUGCUGGUGCUGGGGCCGGGGGCCGGGGUGGCCCGAAUGCCGCUGGUCCUGGCCGACGACUCUGAGCCGGCGGACGGGCUGCCCCGGGCCGGGGUUCCACAAGCCGGCGACACGGCCGACACAUUGAUUUCUGUGACACAAUAAAAAUAUUGUUUCAUUUCAAUUCCUGCUUCUGUGUAUCUGUUGCGUUUACAUCUCUCUUCACGGUAUCAUAGGUAAUGUAAUCCAGUAUUUAGAGGUCAGUUAUGCACAUUACAGUUGUUUAUUGCAUAAACAGUUAUCGAAAAAUGAAGUUAAGGGCGAAGUAUAAAUCACGUCUAAAAAUAGACUGAAUCCCGACGUUGAAAUGAAGUAUAAACUUUGACUAGACGUCUAAUAUACGUCUUUUGCUCAGUGGGAUGGCAAAGCAUGUGGACAUUUGUGUGACACGCCACUUACCCUAUAAUAAUAAUCGCCACCACCCGCUGCUCAAACAGCGUGAGGGUCUCCUCCCCCGGAACCCCACCUGUCUGGCCGGUACUCCUCCGGAGGGCAGCUGUACGCCGCUUGACCUCCACCUGGAGGUCCGACCACUUUUUUGUAAUCUCUGCGGGGGUGCGUGUCUCGGAACCCACCACGUUCACCCUCUCGCAAACUUUCUCACACUCCAAGCGUUUUCGUUUUGCAUUGAUGCCACUGGACAGGCUGCCAAACAAAACACGCUGUCGCUCCUCCACCUCCGCCACCAGCACCUCCACCUCGCACGCCGUAAAUUUAGUUUUUCUUGUCAUUUUGUCUGCGUGCGAGGACAGGGAGACCCUAUUUAAAUAAAUCUGCAUAUUUAUAGGAGGGCGUAACAGGGGUGGGCCCGGUCACUCCGACAUCUGCACUCAAUUCCAAGCUGAUUGGGAUUUAUCAAGGAAACACACAUGGCUUUCGGCGCCUGCACACCUUGAUACAUACGGAUUUUUUUCAGCGUGACGGAACUUGCAUGCGCUCGUUUCUGGUAUGAGUCCCACGCAAGUGUUGAUACAUGAGGCCCCUGGUCCCUGCAGGAGUUCAGAGUUAAGGGAUGGCUCGCACCACAGUCAAAGACAACUCGGAUCUUUCUUUUUGUUGGAUGGUAAACCCCAUGAUGUGGGAUGUACCACACUUUGCCAUCCCUGCAUUCAAUCUACUCCUCUGGCACCUUUUUGGCAUAACCUUUGGCAAUAAGGUCAGUCAUGAAAGAAAUAUAAUCAGCAUGAAACAAAGGAUCCUUGUCAAACCUCCUUUUCAGAUGGAGGGUGCACUGCUCAAUGAUCUUCCUGUUGUUUCGCAUGCUAACGUCCUUGUUCCUCAGUGGUAGGCUGAUCUGAUUGUGACCAUUAACUUGCUUUGUUGAGUUUGUGACCAGUUCCAUAAACUUAUGAUCUUCCCUUGACAUGCCAGGUUCCUCGUCCAUACUGCAUUCCGGGAAAUCCAUUUUAUACUGUCGCUGCCAGAGUUCAUUCAAAUCCAUAACUGAAAUCCGGUUUACAGAUAGUUCUGGCUGCUCAAAGUCGAUCCCAUCACCACUGUCUCCUCCCAGUGGUCCAUUCACCGUCCAUCCCAACAUUGUCCUGACGGCAUAUGGUCCAUUAUUGACACUGCGAAUAACCUCCAGUGGUUCCAUCACCUUGGCAGCAUUCAUUCCAAUAAGCAGCUCGAUCCCUGCAUCCACUCUGGGUAAAUCAACAUUCUUUAAAUGAGGCCAUCUCAGAAGAUCACUUUGUUUUGGUAUAUUCCCUCUGUGAACCGGCAUGUGUUUCUGUGAGUAUGCAUCUGGUAGCUCGCAGAAGUGCUCUUCAUGCAAGUCAGCAACCUCCAGCCCUGUCACGAUAUGACUUUCAAUAACUUUCUCCUGGCCCAUUGUGCGCAGGAGAAUGCGGAUCUUCUUUCCUGUGAGGCCCAGCUGGUGCAUAAAGGCCUCUGUACAGAAAACCGCUGUACUCCCUGGAGCCAAGAAAGCAUAUGUGGUAAUGAUCUUGUUCCCCUUAUUGGACUUGAUCUUCACUGGAACUAUAGGAAGCUUACAGUUGCGAUCUCCAGCCCCUGUAAGAACACUUGACAUCAGAGUGCUGUCCACUGGCACUUCUGACUUCCUUUCAGUCUGGUCAGGUUCCUUUUUUUAUCCUUUGGAAAGAUGUGGAGUAUUGUGGGAUGCUUAAGGACACAUUUAGCACAUGAAAUCCGCUUUUUACAAUCUCUACUCAUGUGUCCAAUACACAAACAACCAAAGCAGACUCCAUUUUCUCUCAAGAAGCUUAUCUUCCCUUUGUGAGCUCUUUUUCCCAACUGGGGACACAAAUCCAAACUGUGUCCUUCACCACAACAAAGACAGUCCUUCCGUGAUAUUUGAACAUGACCCUUAUCUUUGAUGCCAAUACCAGUUUUGUUUUCCGUGGGUGCUACCAAGGUGGCAAAGCUUGUUCCCUUUGCUCCUGAGCGAGGUCAUGGUUCGCGUUUGCGAACUGUCAGGAUCUGUCAGGAUUCUCACUUGCUUUUCAAUAAAGUUGGUAAUGUCAAUAAAUGUUGCUCUUCGGCUGCUCUUUUCCUGCAGUUCACUGGCAAUAGUUCUCCAUUUGUCCCUUAAUUUAUAGGGCAACUUUCUGAUGAUGGUCAACAUAUUAGCGGGAAUACUUAAUUCGUGCAAGUAUUGCAUUUCUUCAACAGCAUUACAGCAGCCCCUGAGAAAAAAGCUGUACUCUUUAAGGGCCUUUACAUCUUCAGCUCUGAUGGGUGGCCAUGAGAGAGCCCUUUCCAUAUAUGCUGACGCCACUUUCAGCUCAUUUCCAAACUGCUCCUUUAAUAGGGUCUUAGCCAUAGCAUAUCCUCUCGCAGGAUCCAUAUGCUGGCAGCUUCUGACGAGUUCUCUGGGGUGACCUCUAGUGUACUGCUCCAGGUAAUAAAGUCGGUCACUACAAUUGACAGUAUUCUUCCCCACAGCAUUUUCAAAGGCCUUCACAAACGCAUGAUAGCAUAAAGGAUUGCCAUCGAAAGUUGGUAUCUCUCUUUUGGGCAAGGAAGAAAAGCUUUGCUUUUGUAUUAACAGUGAUGUAAUUUCAUUUUGCCUUCUCAUAAUGUCAACCAUAUUGUUUCCAUCUUCAUUUUGUGGCAUCAUAUCUGGAUUUAUGACAUUUUGCAUCCUGCUUUCUUUUUGGACACUCUGAUAUGUUAAAGGUUGCUUUGGUUCUUGAUAUUCCAUUGACAUUGGCUCAGAAUGAAUGAACUGAGAUGGAUACUGUUCCUUAGGCCUUACUCCUGCCGCCAGGUGGCAAUGUUCAAUAUCCUUCUGUGCCAUUGCUGGGACGAAUGAACUAGCCUUCAGGUUAAGUGUUUGUGUUUUUCCUUGGCUUUUUCCCAAAUAAGAAUUCAUUCCAUCCGAAUACCUUGCCAUCAAGGUUUUUCCACUCAUGAUGCUCCGAGAUCUAUACACGGUCAGUUUCGCCAUGUGUACGGCAAUUUGCUCGUCCAGUUGAAGCUGCUCUCUCCUUUGGCGCAACCGCUCCUCCUCUUCUUCCAGUUCAUGCUUGCUCUUUAAUAGAUUUUGUUUUAUCUGUAAUGCAGCUAGUUCAGCUUCAGCUUUAAAACAAACAGAAGAAAUGCUAGAAGCAGCAGACCUUUUCCCCAUAGAUGAGGCGUUUGAUUUUGCUGCUUUGGUUCCCACAUUUGACACUCUGUCACUUGGCUUUACUCCAUCUUGCAUGUCAUCUGCCCGGAGUAGAGAUGCAUCCUCCAUUGUUGAUUUCAAACCUUGUGAGAUUGGUUGAUGAAAAGUGGGCAGUGGUGUUUGAGGUUCACCAGGUGAAUACUCUGGCUCAUCAAAUUCAGCCAGGCAAGAUUUAACGGGAUGUUUGCUAUCAGAUAAUUUCUCUGAUUCAUUCAGCCACCUUUCAGUAUUCCCUUUAAAUGCAUUGCUGUAAGACAUGAUGCUGUUAAACCAACCAGUUUGUAUUAUUUGUUCAUCCUCAGGGAUUAAAGGAAUGAACUCAUUGUGUGACGCUGUGGCAUUUUUACAAAGUUUGAUUACAUUAUCCAAGAGGAGUCGCACUUGUGAGACAUUUUCUCUACUGUUCACCAGUCCUUUAAUUUGAGGUAUGAGCCCUUUAAUUUUUUUCACGGUUGUUUUCCGUUCCUUUUGAAGCUUCUCAAUUUUAUUUUGCAAAGCCUUUGCAGUGAGUUUAACUUCUCAUUUUCCUUUAUCCAUUCCAAAGCUUGCAACCUCAUUAUUUAUUUGAUUCAUUUUCCUUAUAUCGCUCGUGCAUUCAACGCAUGCACAUACGAGACGACAUCCUUCCAGCCGACAUCACAUUCAGCGCAUCAGCAGGGUUUCCUUCCAUUCAUACACAGCUUAGCUGGUUUACGCGCAUCACAGCUCACCUGAUUUCAGUGAUGGAUUGGAGAGUUUCAUCCAUCAUGGCUCCACCGAUGUCUUCAUUCCCGGGGUUCCAUUCAUUAAUCCUCGUUCCAUUAAUUCCUUGAUCGUUUGCGCUGUCCGUUGAUGUCUCCUUUAAUGCCUUUUUUUGUUGACAAAAUGUAGCGACAGAACCAAAAAAGGCGCUUGAGCUCGGAGUCGGGUCUCUCUCUGUCCGACGCGCUGCCUUAAUCAAACAAAAAAAACGCCAAAACAAAUACGCUUCGUUUGAAGGUUUAGAGAAAUAACUGCCAACUACCAAUUUGGCUCUAAAAUAAACAACAAUCUAACAAAACCAAAGUCUGCAGCGGUGACAGCGGCGGUCAACAAAAAUUACGGCGUCCCGUCCCCGUGCUCUCCACAAAACCAAAAUCAAAUCCCAGGUGUGCUCAGGUCCUCAUAAUAACAAAUCACCGCCCCUAUCUGUGACGUAAUACCUGUGAUGACCCCAAACAAUAUCA
This is a non-coding RNA of Xyrichtys novacula (pearly razorfish), 10832 nucleotides long. The record is from the annotation of a GenBank genome assembly. NCBI's taxonomy places the organism in Eukaryota, Metazoa, Chordata, Actinopteri, Labriformes, Labridae.